GAUGAACGCUGGCGGCGUGCCUAAUACAUGCAAGUCGAGCGAACGGACGAGAAGCUUGCUUCUCUGAUGUUAGCGGCGGACGGGUGAGUAACACGUGGAUAACCUACCUAUAAGACUGGGAUAACUUCGGGAAACCGGAGCUAAUACCGGAUGAUAUUUUGAACCGCAUGGUUCAAAAGUGAAAGACGGUCUUGCUGUCACUUAUAGAUGGAUCCGCGCUGCAUUAGCUAGUUGGUAAGGUAACGGCUUACCAAGGCAACGAUGCAUAGCCGACCUGAGAGGGUGAUCGGCCACACUGGAACUGAGACACGGGCCAGACUCCUACGGGAGGCAGCAGUAGGGAAUCUUCCGCAAUGGGCGAAAGCCUGACGGAGCAACGCCGCGUGAGUGAUGAAGGUCUUCGGAUCGUAAAACUCUGUUAUUAGGGAAGAACAUAUGUGUAAGUAACUGUGCACAUCUUGACGGUACCUAAUCAGAAAGCCACGGCUAACUACGUG
RNAcentral lists this ribosomal RNA (497 nucleotides) under uncultured bacterium. Its description in RNAcentral is "partial 16S ribosomal RNA". It matches the Rfam family "Bacterial small subunit ribosomal RNA", at positions 28 to 507 of the family's 1533-position model. The record is from RNAcentral.